UAUGGCGACCGGCGCACGGGUGAGUAACACGUAUCCAACCUGCCCUCUUCAGGGGGACAACCUUCCGAAAGGGAGGCUAAUCCCGCGUAUAUCGGUUUCGGGCAUCCGAGAUCGAGGAAAGAUUCAUCGGAAGAGGAUGGGCAUGCGGCGCAUUAGCUAGACGGCGGGGUAACGGCCCACCGUGGCGACGAUGCGUAGGGGUUCUGAGAGGAAGGUCCCCCACACUGGUACUGAGACACGGACCAGACUCCUACGGGAGGCAGCAG
RNAcentral lists this ribosomal RNA (266 nucleotides) under uncultured bacterium. RNAcentral's name for it is "partial 16S ribosomal RNA". It matches the Rfam family "Bacterial small subunit ribosomal RNA", at positions 87 to 354 of the family's 1533-position model. The record is from RNAcentral.